GUGGGGAAUAUUGGACAAUGGGGGGAACCCUGAUCCAGCCAUGCCGCGUGUGUGAAGAAGGCCUUUUGGUUGUAAAGCACUUUAAGCGAGGAGGAGGCUACCGAGAUUAAUACUCUUGGAUAGUGGACGUUACUCGCAGAAUAAGCACCGGCUAACUCUGUGCCAGCAGCCGCGGUAAUACAGAGGGUGCAAGCGUUAAUCGGAUUUACUGGGCGUAAAGCGCGCGUAGGUGGCCAAUUAAGUCAAAUGUGAAAUCACCGAGCUUAACUUGGGAAUUGCAUUCGAUACUGGUUGGCUAGAGUAUGGGAGAGGAUGGUAGAAUUCCAGGUGUAGCGGUGAAAUGCGUAGAGAUCUGGAGGAAUACCGAUGGCGAAGGCAGCCAUCUGGCCUAAUACUGACACUGAGGUGCGAAAGCAUGGGGAGCAAACAGGAUUAGAUACCCGGGUAGUCC
RNAcentral lists this ribosomal RNA (451 nucleotides) under uncultured bacterium. RNAcentral's name for it is "partial 16S ribosomal RNA". It matches the Rfam family "Bacterial small subunit ribosomal RNA", at positions 354 to 796 of the family's 1533-position model. The record is from RNAcentral.